GUUGGAUAGGAUGAUGCCAAGGAGAUACAAAUUGAAGGUAUACGCAAGAGUUGUGAGACGAGUUAUCAUAGUGUUGGUUGUGAAAGAAAAGAGCUGGAAUAUGUAUUAUAACGAAAAAGACGCAGGGAUGGUGACACAAGUGCUGAAGCUGACGUUGUUGCGAUAUCAAAGAUAAUAUAAGCGAGAAUGUAAAGUUUUAAGCACGCUGGCAGAACAGAGGGAAAAGAUACAGCGAGGUUAGAUGAGAUAGAUGAUGAAAUCAGAGAUAUUGUAGAAACCUAAGGAGGUAUUUUGAAAAGAGAAUUGCAGGCAUAACCCUGUAGGAGAAGAGGAUUUUCAAGCUGAAGUUUAUUCGCGUCAACAUACAAUUUGUGAAGUCUGCAUGGCCCCCAUCUGGAUAAAGGCGAAGGAGAAGAAGGUGGAUAUUCAAUAUGCCUUUUGUGCUCCCUUGGAAAUUUGAAAAAUGCGUGCAUUUCCUUGUUCUCAUAUACUAAUUGUACAGUUCACAAUCCUUGAAGAUUCCCCUUCAAGCAACCUGCUUACUGAGAUAACCUUACUGAGAUAACUAC
Non-coding RNA from Paramuricea clavata, 569 nucleotides. Lineage: Eukaryota; Metazoa; Cnidaria; Anthozoa; Malacalcyonacea; Plexauridae. The record is from the annotation of a GenBank genome assembly.